This is a long non-coding RNA of Lemur catta (Ring-tailed lemur), 454 nucleotides long. RefSeq lists it as uncharacterized. The record is from RefSeq and is a predicted model, not a curated record. Lineage: Eukaryota; Metazoa; Chordata; Mammalia; Primates; Lemuridae. The transcript is spliced from 3 exons.
GGUUUCCAGUCCCGGCUCAACUCUGAACAGCUGUGUGCUUUGGGACAGGCACCAGUGACCCAACGGGCUUGAGGACAUCCCUCACACCACGUUCAGAUGGCAGGCCGUCACCCCACCCGUGGCUGAGCACGCUGAGUUCAUAGGAGUUUCAAUAAAUCCUGCCAUCAAUCAUCCCGAGAAUUUCACAGUUACAGCAUAUUGCCCGUACUGCAAGUUUUAACGUGUACAAUUUGGGUAAUCACCACUAUGAGGAAGACACGGAACAGCUCCAUCACCCCAAACCUCCCUGUGCAAUUCCCCUACGUUCCCAUCCUGCUCCCAGACCUGACCCCCGGCAACCGCUGCGCCGGCCUUCAGCACUGUGGUUUUGUCUUAGUUUGACUUUUGUGAUUUUUUUCAUUUUAAAAAAUCAUGCACAUGUAUUAUCAAUUAAAAACUAAAUACGUUUUGUUAU